Molecule: ribosomal RNA, 501 nt
Filed under: uncultured Glomeromycotina
Lineage: Eukaryota; Fungi; Glomeromycota
Description: partial small subunit ribosomal RNA
Rfam family: Eukaryotic small subunit ribosomal RNA
Source: RNAcentral
CCAAUAGCGUAUAUUAAAGUUGUUGCAGUUAAAAAGCUCGUAGUUGAAUUUCGGGAUCAAUAUGUCGGUCGUGCCUUCGGUACGUACUGGUAUCAUUGGUCUCUCCUUUCUGACGAACCAUGAUGUCAUUAAUUUGGUGUUAUGGGGAGUUAGGACUGUUACUUUGGAAAAAAUUAGAGUGUUUAAAGCAGGCUUUAGCUUGAAUACAUUAGCAUGGAAUAAUGAAAUAGGACGUUCGAACCUAUUUUGUUGGUUUCUAGGAUCAACGUAAUGAUUAAUAGGGAUAGUUGGGGGCAUUAGUAUUCAAUUGUCAGAGGUGAAAUUCUUGGAUUUAUUGAAGACUAACUACUGCGAAAGCAUUUGCCAAGGUUGUUUUCAUUAAUCAAGAACGAAAGUUAGGGGAUCGAAGACGAUCAGAUACCGUCGUAGUCUUAAUCAUAAACUAUGCCGACUAGGGAUCGGAUGAUGUUAAUUUUUUAAUGACUCAUUCGGCGCCUUACG